GACGAACGCUGGCGGCGUGCCUAAUACAUGCAAGUCGAACGCAGUGGGGACGGGUGAGUAACACGUGGGUAACCUCCCAUCAGAGGGGAUAACACUUGGAAACAGGUGCUAAACCGAUACUGAUGGAUGGACCCGCGGUGCAUUAGCUAGUUGGUGAGGUAACGGCUCACCAAGGCCACGAUGCAUAGCCGAUCGGAGAGGGUGAUCGGCCACACUGGAACUGAGACACGGCCCAGACUCCUACGGGAGGCAGCAGUGGGGAAUCUUGCGCAAUGGACGAAAGUCUGACCGAGCCACGCCGCGUGAGUGAAGAAGGUUUUCGGGUUGUAAAGCUCUUUUGGUGGAGAGGCGUUACCUGACGAAAAAGCAACGGCUAACUACGUGCCAGCAGCCGCGGUAAUAC
Molecule: ribosomal RNA, 403 nt
Filed under: uncultured bacterium
Lineage: Bacteria
Description: partial 16S ribosomal RNA
Rfam family: Bacterial small subunit ribosomal RNA
Source: RNAcentral